GAUGAAGAACGCAGCGAAAUGCGAUAAGUAGUGUGAAUUGCAGAAUUCAGUGAAUCAUCGAGUCUUUGAACGCACAUUGCGCCCCCUGGUAUUCCGGGGGGCAUGCCUGUCCGAGCGUCAUUGCUGCCCUCAAGCACGGCUUGUGUGUUGGGCCCCGUCCUCCGAUCCCGGGGGACGGGCCCGAAAGGCAGCGGCGGCACCGCGUCCGGUCCUCGGGCGUAUGGGGCUUUGUCACCCGCUCUGUAGGCCCGGCCGGCGCUUGCCGAUCAACCCAAAUUUUUAUCCAGGUUGACCUCGGAUCAGGUAGGGAUACCCGCUGAACUUAAGCAUAUCAAUAAGCGGAGGA
This 346-nucleotide unclassified non-coding RNA is filed under the name soil metagenome. RNAcentral describes it as "partial contains 5.8S ribosomal RNA, internal transcribed spacer 2, and large subunit ribosomal RNA". The stretch from base 1 to 120 matches the Rfam family "5.8S ribosomal RNA", at positions 35 to 154 of the family's 154-position model. The record is from RNAcentral.